GAUGAACGCUGGCGGCGUGCCUAAUACAUGCAAGUCGAGCGAACAGACGAGGAGCUUGCUCCUCUGACGUUAGCGGCGGACGGGUGGGUAACACGUGGAUAACCUACCUAUAAGACUGGGAUAACUUCGGGAAACCGGAGCUAAUACCGGAUAAUAUAUUGAACCGCAUGGUUCAAUAGUGAAAGACGGUUUUGCUGUCACUUAUAGAUGGAUCCGCGCCGCAUUAGCUAGUUGGUAAGGUAACGGCUUACCAAGGCAACGAUGCGUAGCCGACCUGAGAGGGUGAUCGGCCACACUGGAACUGAGACACGGUCCAGACUCCUACGGGAGGCAGCAGUAGGGAAUCUUCCGCAAUGGGCGAAAGCCUGACGGAGCAACGCCGCGUGAGUGAUGAAGGUCUUCGGAUCGUAAAACUCUGUUAUUGGGGAAGAACAAAUGUGUAAGUAACUAUGCACGUCUUGACGGUACCUAAUCAGAAAGCCACGGCUAACUACGUG
Molecule: ribosomal RNA, 497 nt
Filed under: uncultured bacterium
Lineage: Bacteria
Description: partial 16S ribosomal RNA
Rfam family: Bacterial small subunit ribosomal RNA
Source: RNAcentral